RNAcentral lists this ribosomal RNA (439 nucleotides) under uncultured bacterium. RNAcentral's name for it is "bacterial SSU rRNA". It matches the Rfam family "Bacterial small subunit ribosomal RNA", at positions 339 to 794 of the family's 1533-position model. The record is from RNAcentral.
UUACGGGAGGCAGCAGGAAGGAAUUUUGCACAAUGAGCGAAAGCUUGAUGCAGCAAUGCCGCGUGGGCGAUGAAGGCCUUCGGGUUGUAAAGCCCUUUUCUGAGGGAAGAGUAAGGACGGUACCUCAGGAAUAAGUCUCGGCUAACUACGUGCCAGCAGCCGCGGUAACACGUAGGAGACGAGCGUUAUCCGGAUUUACUGGGUGUAAAGCGCAUGUAGGCGGGUUCCCAAGUCGGGCAUGAAAUCUUUCGGCUUAACCGGGAGGAGUGGUCCGAUACUAGGAGUCUUGAGGGCAGGAGAGGGAAGCAGAAUUCCCGGUGUAGUGGUGGAAUACGUAGAUAUCGGGAGGAAUACCAGUGGCGAAAGCGGCUUCCUGGCCUGUGCCUGACGCUAAGAUGCGAAAGCGUGGGUAGCAAACGGGAUUAGAUACCCCGGUAGG